GCUCCGGUGGCUUAGUGGUUAGACAGUCCGACUCGGGUGCGGGAGGUUGUGGGUUCGAUCCCCGGUCGAGUCA
This is a non-coding RNA of Potamilus streckersoni, 73 nucleotides long. NCBI's taxonomy places the organism in Eukaryota, Metazoa, Mollusca, Bivalvia, Unionida, Unionidae. The record is from the annotation of a GenBank genome assembly.